AUGAGGGGUAGGCGUGGUCAUGGCGGCUGGAGCAAUGCUUGCAGCAUUGGGAGCCAAAGCCAUGGCAAUGCAGUCCCCAACAUCAGACUAGACAUGCCAAGAUCCACUGGGGACGGAAAGGGGUCUUACGGAGGGGGACGGGAGGGGGUGGCACAGAUAGUUUUGGUGGGGAUCGAAGAGCUUCUCCCGGACAAAACCUGCAUGCCAAACGGGCCGUCGGGGAUUUUUGAGAGUUUCAAGGUUGAUGAUAACUUCAAGGUUGUAAAGGUAAAGCUGAGCAAGGAAGAUCUAAUAGAAAUCUCGGCUGCUGUCCCUGCUGGCGACGUGGCUGGGUCGAGGGUCAUGGGAAUCUUGGAGCCUUAUUCUUGGAGGAUUGCAAACACUCCACCUCAAAAGUAG
This 399-nucleotide ribosomal RNA is filed under the name Triticum aestivum (bread wheat). RNAcentral's name for it is "partial small subunit ribosomal RNA". Lineage: Eukaryota; Viridiplantae; Streptophyta; Magnoliopsida; Poales; Poaceae. The record is from RNAcentral.